Molecule: transfer RNA, 75 nt
Filed under: Candidatus Nitrosotenuis sp.
Lineage: Archaea; Thermoproteati; Nitrososphaerota
Description: tRNA-Met
Rfam family: tRNA
About the family: Transfer RNA (tRNA) molecules are approximately 80 nucleotides in length. Their secondary structure includes four short double-helical elements and three loops (D, anti-codon, and T loops). Further hydrogen bonds mediate the characteristic L-shaped molecular structure. tRNAs have two regions of fundamental functional importance: the anti-codon, which is responsible for specific mRNA codon recognition, and the 3' end, to which the tRNAs corresponding amino acid is attached (by aminoacyl-tRNA synthetases). tRNAs cope with the degeneracy of the genetic code in two manners: having more than one tRNA (with a specific anti-codon) for a particular amino acid; and 'wobble' base-pairing, i.e. permitting non-standard base-pairing at the 3rd anti-codon position.
Source: RNAcentral
CGCAGAGUAGCGCAGCGGUAGAGCGUUGGACUCAUAAUCCAAAGGUCGGUGGUUCGAUUCCAUCCUCUGCAACCA